RNAcentral lists this ribosomal RNA (433 nucleotides) under uncultured bacterium. RNAcentral's name for it is "partial 16S ribosomal RNA". It matches the Rfam family "Bacterial small subunit ribosomal RNA", at positions 29 to 507 of the family's 1533-position model. The record is from RNAcentral.
AACGAACGCUGGCGGCAUGCCUAACACAUGCAAGUCGAACGAGGCCUUCGGGUCUAGUGGCGCACGGGUGCGUAACGCGUGGGAACCUGCCCUUAGGUUCGGAAUAACUCCCCGAAAGGGGUGCUAAUACCGGAUAAUGUCUUCGGACCAAAGAUUUAUCGCCUUUGGAUGGGCCCGCGUUGGAUUAGCUAGUUGGUAGGGUAAAAGCCUACCAAGGCGACGAUCCAUAGCUGGUCUGAGAGGAUGAUCAGCCACACUGGGACUGAGACACGGCCCAGACUCCUACGGGAGGCAGCAGUGGGGAAUAUUGGACAAUGGGCGAGAGACUGAUCCAGCAAUGCCGCGUGAGUGAUGAAGGCCUUAGGGUUGUAAAGCUCUUUUACCCGGGAUGAUAAUGACAGUACCGGGAGAAUAAGCUCCGGCUAACUCCGUG